AUUGAACGCUGGCGGCAUGCUUUACACAUGCAAGUCGAACGGUAACAGGUUAAGCUGACGAGUGGCGAACGGGUGAGUAAUGCAUCGGAACGUGCCCGGUCGUGGGGGAUAACGCAGCGAAAGCUGCGCUAAUACCGCAUACGAUCUGAGGAUGAAAGCGGGGGACCGUAAGGCCUCGCGCGAUCGGAGCGGCCGAUGUCAGAUUAGGUAGUUGGUGGGGUAAAGGCUCACCAAGCCGACGAUCUGUAGCUGGUCUGAGAGGACGACCAGCCACACUGGGACUGAGACACGGCCCAGACUCCUACGGGAGGCAGCAGUGGGGAAUUUUGGACAAUGGGCGCAAGCCUGAUCCAGCAAUGCCGCGUGCAGGAAGAAGGCCUUCGGGUUGUAAACUGCUUUUGUACGGAGCGAAAAGGUCUUUCCUAAUACGGGAGGCUGAUGACGGUACCGUAAGAAUAAGCACCGGCUAACUACGUG
This 477-nucleotide ribosomal RNA is filed under the name uncultured bacterium. RNAcentral describes it as "bacterial SSU rRNA". It matches the Rfam family "Bacterial small subunit ribosomal RNA", at positions 30 to 507 of the family's 1533-position model. The record is from RNAcentral.